AGUUGAUCAUGGCUCAGGAUGAACGCUGGCGGCGUGCCUAACACAUGCAAGUCGAACGGGGUUACUGGCAGCGGAGAUUCGGUCAAAGCAGCUUUAACCUAGUGGCGGACGGGUGAGUAACGCGUGGGGAACCUGCCCUGUACUGGGGGAUAACAGUGAGAAAUCACUGCUAAUACCGCAUAAGCGCACAGCAUCGCAUGAUGCAGUGUGAAAAACUGAGGUGGUACAGGAUGGCUCCGCGUUGGAUUAGCCAGUUGGCGGGGUAACGGCCCACCAAAGCGACGAUCCAUAGCCGGCCUGAGAGGGUGAACGGCCACAUUGGGACUGAGACACGGCCCAGACUCCUACGGGAGGCAGCAGUGGGGAAUAUUGCACAAUGGGGGAAACCCUGAUGCCAGCGACGCCGCGUGAAGGAAGAAGUAUCUCGGUAUGUAAACUUCUAUCAGCAGGGAAGAUGAUGACGGUACCUGACUAAGAAGCCCCGGCUAACUACGUGCCAGCCGCGGC
Molecule: ribosomal RNA, 507 nt
Filed under: uncultured bacterium
Lineage: Bacteria
Description: bacterial SSU rRNA
Rfam family: Bacterial small subunit ribosomal RNA
Source: RNAcentral